UUUGCAGUAACAGGUGUGAACAUUC
RNAcentral lists this microRNA (25 nucleotides) under Canis lupus familiaris (dog). RNAcentral's name for it is "cfa-miR-6516". Lineage: Eukaryota; Metazoa; Chordata; Mammalia; Carnivora; Canidae. The record is from miRBase by way of RNAcentral.